UACGGGGGGGGUAAGCGUUGUUCGGAAUUACUGGGCGUAAAGAGCGUGUAGGCGGCCAGACAGGUCCGUUGUGAAAACUGGAGGCUUAACCUUCAGACGUCGAUGGAAACCGUCGGGCUAGAGUCCGGAAGAGGAGAGUGGAAUUCCUGGUGUAGCGGUGAAAUGCGCAGAUAUCAGGAAGAACACCCGUGGCUAAGGCGGCUCUCUAGUACGGUACUGACGCUGAGACGCGAAAGCGUGGGGAGCGAACAGG
RNAcentral lists this ribosomal RNA (253 nucleotides) under uncultured bacterium. RNAcentral describes it as "partial 16S ribosomal RNA". It matches the Rfam family "Bacterial small subunit ribosomal RNA", at positions 524 to 776 of the family's 1533-position model. The record is from RNAcentral.